This 1162-nucleotide long non-coding RNA is filed under the name Numida meleagris (helmeted guineafowl). Its description in RNAcentral is "lncRNA (ENSNMEG00000007463.1)". Lineage: Eukaryota; Metazoa; Chordata; Aves; Galliformes; Numididae. The record is from RNAcentral.
UGGAGCUGCUCAGGAAGAGAGGACAUGGUCAAAUCUGUGGGAUGCUGAUCAGAUUUAUUCUUUCCUCGAGCUCCCCUUGGGCAUGGAUUAGGAGGCUGAGUGGGUGAAGUGGGAGGAUUGUAGUGGUGGUGAGUAACAAGGCUUUAGCAAGUGCUGAACUGAAAGAGAAGAAUUUUCUCACCUUUCGGUCUUACACUUUCAUUUUUAUGGAUUUUGGGACGCUUUCAUAUGGAAACACAACGAUCUCCUCCACCAAAUGUGGGUGAAAGAUUGAAAUGACAGAAGAGACUGAACAUGGUUAUAAAUGAGAGCCGUGGCGGGAUGUUUCUGGGCCAGCAAGUCUCCACUCCAUGAACUUUCUGCUUCCCUUCAACGGAGAUUGGUGGCAUCAGCAGCCAGACACAAUUCAGAAUGGAAAGCUUUCAGAUGUCACCAUCUACACAAGGCUGGGGGCAGCAGAAGAGCAGACCUCUUGCCUCUAACUGUCUUCUCCCACCCCGUAAAAUACAGACAGGGCAGACUGUCUGCCCGGGGAUGCUGGGAGCGUGUCCCAACAAGCUGCAGCUUGCACAGAGGUUGCUAAGUGACUUAAAUCCAUUGCACAGAACAGAACUGUAUUGCCACGAAACAGCAGAACCUGACUUAGUUUCUAGUAACUCAUUAAAAUGACUCUACAAUUCUUUUGAUGUUCUGUACUAGUCUGGUCACAUUCCUUUCUGUUUUAUAGCACGGUAAUAACAACAUUCUUGUAAACAGUCAUAUAAACUCUAACCUUCAUAUUGCUCUCUUCAGAUCAUCUGAAAGCGUUUUCACAUUGAGAUUUGGCUUUCUUGCCCCCAUAAAGCAUAUCCCACUCUAAUAACCCAGGCCAUCAAGGGACCAGAGGGAGAGAAUAGGGAUGCACAAGUUGAUUACUGCUUGUCACUUGUUUAGGGCAGCCAUAUCAUCCUGUAGAGGCAGAAGUGUUUUGCAAACAUCACCUUUAUAAAUCCAAUGCUUAGAGCUUCUGGGGCUCCCAUUCCCUUCCAGAAGAAUCUCUCCUGUCGACACAGACUCCAGCUUGGAUUUUUGUCAGUUAGUGCCCACCGUUUGGUAAUUAGCAGCCUGUACUCCCUCCAUUGGUAACAACACACCACCAUCCCUUACUUGGGCAGAUCUACAG